This 393-nucleotide ribosomal RNA is filed under the name uncultured bacterium. RNAcentral's name for it is "partial 16S ribosomal RNA". It matches the Rfam family "Bacterial small subunit ribosomal RNA", at positions 523 to 918 of the family's 1533-position model. The record is from RNAcentral.
AUACGGAAGGUCCGGGCGUUAUCCGGAUUUAUUGGGUUUAAAGGGAGCGCAGGCGGAGAUGCAAGCGUGACGUCAAAUUUCGGGGCUCAACCCCGUCUCGCGUCGCGAACUGCGUCCCUUGGUUGCGGGAAGGGGAGGCGGAACUCGUGGUGUAGCGGUGAAAUGCAUAGAUAUCACGAAGAACUCCGAUCGCGAAGGCAGCCUUCCGGCCCGUCAACGACGCUCAUGCUCGAAGGUGCGGGUAUCAAACAGGAUUAGAUACCCUGGUAGUCCGCGCAGUAAACGAUGGACACCCGCGGUUUGGCCUAUAUGGCUGAGCCGCCAAGCGAAAGCGUUAAGUGUCCCACCUGGGGAGUACGCCGGCAACGGUGAAACUCAAAGGAAUUGACGGGG